GAUGAACGCUGGCGGCGUGCCUAAUACAUGCAAGUCGAGCGAACAGACGCGGAGCUUGCUCCUCUGACGUUAGCCGCGGACGGGUGAGUAACACGUGGAUAACCUACCUAUAAUACUGGGAUAACUUCGGGAAACCGGAGCUAAUCCCGGAUAACAUGUUGAACCGCAUGGUUCAACAGUGAAAGACGGUGUUUCUGUCAGUUAUAGAUGGAUCCGCGCCGCAUUAGCUAGUUGGUAAGGUAACGGCUUACCAAGGCAACGAUGCGUAGCCGACCGGAGGGGGGGGUAGGCGACAUGAGAGGGGGGACGGGGUCCAGGGGCCUGCGAGAGGGAGCAGAAGGCAACGGGCCGCAGUGGGGGAGAGCCUGACGGAGCAGGGCGACGUGAGUGAAAAAGGUGCUGGGAGCGGAAAACUCGGUUAUGAGGGAAGAACAAAUGUGUAAGGAACUGUGCACGUCGUGACGGUAACUAGUCAGAAAGCCACGGCUAACUACGUG
Molecule: ribosomal RNA, 497 nt
Filed under: uncultured bacterium
Lineage: Bacteria
Description: partial 16S ribosomal RNA
Rfam family: Bacterial small subunit ribosomal RNA
Source: RNAcentral